Molecule: ribosomal RNA, 497 nt
Filed under: uncultured bacterium
Lineage: Bacteria
Description: partial 16S ribosomal RNA
Rfam family: Bacterial small subunit ribosomal RNA
Source: RNAcentral
GAUGAACGCUGGCGGCGUGCCUAAUACAUGCAAGUCGAGCGAACGGACGCGAAGCUUGCUUCUCUGAUGUUAGCGGCGGACGGGUGAGUAACACGUGGAUAACCUACCUAUAAGACUGGGAUAACUACGGGAAACCGUAGCUAAUACCGGAUAAUAUUUUGAACCGCAUGGUUCAAAAGUGAAAGACGGUCUUGCUGUCACUUAUAGAUGGAUCCGCGCUGCAUUAGCUAGUUGGUAAGGUAACGGCCUACCAAGGCAAGGGUGCAUAGCCGACCUGAGAGGGUGAUCGGCCGCCCUGGAACGGAGACAGGGUCCAGACUCCUACGGGAGGCAGCAGUAGGGAAUCUUCCGCCAUGGGCGGAAGCCUGACGGAGCAACGCCGCGUGAGUGAUGAAGGUCUUCGGAUCGGAAAACUCUGUUAUUAGGGAAGAACAUAUGUGUGAGUAACUGGGCACAUCUUUGCGGGUCCUAAUCAGAGAGCCACGGCUUACCUCCUG